RNAcentral lists this ribosomal RNA (698 nucleotides) under uncultured bacterium. RNAcentral describes it as "bacterial SSU rRNA". It matches the Rfam family "Bacterial small subunit ribosomal RNA", at positions 53 to 789 of the family's 1533-position model. The record is from RNAcentral.
ACCUGCAGUCGAGCGGGCGUAGCAAUACGUCAGCGGCAGACGGGUGAGUAACGCGUGGGAACGUACCUUUUGGUUCGGAACAACACAGGGAAACUUGUGCUAAUACCGGAUAAGCCCUUACGGGGAAAGAUUUAUCGCCGAAAGAUCGGCCCGCGUCUGAUUAGCUAGUUGGUGAGGUAAUGGCUCACCAAGGCGACGAUCAGUAGCUGGUCUGAGAGGAUGAUCAGCCACAUUGGGACUGAGACACGGCCCAAACUCCUACGGGAGGCAGCAGUGGGGAAUAUUGGACAAUGGGCGCAAGCCUGAUCCAGCCAUGCCGCGUGAGUGAUGAAGGCCCUAGGGUUGUAAAGCUCUUUUGUGCGGGAAGAUAAUGACGGUACCGCAAGAAUAAGCCCCGGCUAACUUCGUGCCAGCAGCCGCGGUAAUACGAAGGGGGCUAGCGUUGCUCGGAAUCACUGGGCGUAAAGGGUGCGUAGGCGGGUCUUUAAGUCAGGGGUGAAAUCCUGGAUCUCAACUCCCGAACUGCCUUUGAUACUGAAGAUCUUGAGUUCCCGGAGAUGUGAGUGGAACUGCCAGUGUAAACGUGAAAUUCUCUAUAUAUUCGCAAGAACACCAGUGGCGAAGGCGGCUCACUGACUCCCAUCCUGACCCUCAAAGAACCACAGCGUGGGGGAGCGAACAGGAUUUAAAUAACACUG